RNAcentral lists this transfer RNA (60 nucleotides) under Tetrastigma ceratopetalum. Its description in RNAcentral is "partial tRNA-Phe". Lineage: Eukaryota; Viridiplantae; Streptophyta; Magnoliopsida; Vitales; Vitaceae. RNAcentral also lists the same sequence under 11 other names. The record is from RNAcentral.
AUUUUUAAUUGACAUAGACCAAGUCCUCUAGUAAAAUGAGGAUGAUGCAUCGGGAAUAGC